ACACGUAGGUUCUAGUCCGAGAGUCCCUGAGGUGUUGUACUUGAUAUCUUGUCGGCAAGUAGGUUCGAGUCGGAGAAUCCUUCGACGCAGACUGAUAUAUAUACGACUACUAAUAUACGGGACUUGCCAAAUAUCGAGUAUAUUUCCCGAGCAGCGUAUUGGCCUACGGGACAAGAAACUCAGAAGAAGGAAGAACACGCCUACGGGACAAGAAACUCAGAAGAAGGAAGAACACGCCUACGGGUCAAGAAAGUUCAGAAGGAGGAAGAUCACGCGCCGACAACAUGUUGGGGUUCGUGUUCCGGCGUCUGCUGCACCGCGGGAUCUUGGCCGGCCGCCGUGUGGCCACGGUGCCACCGCCAGCUCCUCGUCCUCGUCUCUUCUCCAUCAGCCACCUUCCUCAGGGUCAUCGGCCACCGGUCCAACCGACGCUUCUCAUGCCUGAAGUCAACGCAGCGACGCCAUCGUUGGGGUAGGCUGUACUUCUUCCUCGCUUUAAGCGGAUACUACAUCGUUGAUCAACGCAUGAGACAGCAUAAGGAGAAAGCAAUGGACGGUUCCACCAUAGACACUUUCGGUUCGUCUUGUCCAUAGUAUGAAGUAGGAGGUUGUUUCUAAAACACUGUAAUUUUUGAAGUAAUGAAGUAAGGGUUU
Long non-coding RNA from Triticum aestivum (bread wheat), 654 nucleotides. RefSeq lists it as uncharacterized. The transcript is spliced from 2 exons. NCBI's taxonomy places the organism in Eukaryota, Viridiplantae, Streptophyta, Magnoliopsida, Poales, Poaceae. The record is from RefSeq and is a predicted model, not a curated record.